CACUAAGCUGCGCUCACAAGUCUCCAGGGACCUCCACACAGAACUCAUUGGCCUUGGCCCAACUGUCUUAACAUAAAUAACCCCCAGGUUGACGGCACACGUCUUACAGAGCACAUCCAAUGGAGAGCCUAGAAGCAAACUGUCCUUCUGGAAAUUGCAUUAAGGCUUCACACUUUUCCUGGGGCCUCUGGGCAGCCUUCCAGACCCCAUCCCCAGGACUGACUGAGUUCCUGAGAUAGGAAAUGCAACCCGAGACGUGUGAAGAAAAAAACAGUGUGCUUAUUGUCACGGCCUCCACUCCUCGCUGGGCUCCCAGGCCGCCGGCCGGGUGCUCUGGGGUGUCUGCCCCGCCGCAGAGAAGAAUAAACCCAGACUCCAAUCAUAGGAAAUUCAUCAAAUGUGCUUCUCAGAGCUCUGUCUUUCAAGGUCUGCUUUCCUGCCAUAUGAUCUCUAUAAACCGAAUCACUGUGAGCCAGGGCACAGGACCAGAGGCGCCUGAGGCUCGCGGAUAAUGAAUGCCAAAUGCAUGUGACAAUGGACUGAUCAGGGAGCAGAAUGGAAAUGUCUGAGCUGUGCUUUUCUAUAUGUAUAUACACACACAUACAUGCAUACGUGCAUGUAUGCACCAGCGCACACACACUCACACACACACACGCACAAGUCAAGCACACAGUACGUCUUAACAAAGGCCAACUGUGAUCCUUGCUGCCAGACUCAGUUAACACACUUCUCAGUAACUCUGUUAAAUUAUCAGGACAAAGAAGGAUACAAUGAAAGAGAAAAAAGUAUCAGAUCCCAGUUUAGCUGGGGACACUCGACAUGGAAGGAUCACGGAUUUGACGUAGAAAUUCAGAACGCCUUUUGCUCAGGGAUGAGCAUGGGAGCCAACACACCGGGGAACCUCAACUGAAAAAUGAAAAUCAACCACUCAUUCUGGGCACCAGUGGUAAACGGGAGGAAUUGCGCUCCAUUGAAUGACUUAUUGUACGAUGACCCGAUAAUGGUUUCUACCCCUCCUGGGUCUGACCAGCCCCUUCACUCGAUAACCAGUUACCCGUGUGGCCAGGUAAGAGAAGAGAACACAAGACAGAAAAUAGCAGGCCACCAACUAAAGGCAAAAAGGUAAUUAAUGUUAUAGCCUUUUAGAUUCUAGAAAAUACUGCACUUAAAACUGCAAGUCAACUCAGCGGCUGUCUGCAACCGAUAAAUGCUUCCAUAUUCACAGGCAUCAGCAAUCUUCCUCUUACAAAAAAAGUAAUAAUACAUACAUAUUAAUGGAUCACAUUUUGUCCUUUGGGGAGCAUAAUUUUUAAAAGGGCCAAGGCAGCAAUAAUAGUUCCUUUAAAAAUUCUAAAUGCUGUAAUUGUUUUCUCUGAAUUAUGGUGCUAGGAUUUAAUUAGUGAUGAAUGUUCGGUAUGGGGUUUGGUCAUUUUUGAUGAAUUCAGCCAAACAGAAAAGUAGUCUUGUCCUCCUUGCUCCCUCCCCGUCCCCCACCCCCUUCCUUCCCUAGGACCUUGAAAUGCGCGAGCGCCUGAGAACAUGUCCACGUGGGCAUUUUCUUUCCUGUAGUUUGGCCGGAGUUAAGAGGGAGAUGGCUUCAACCACAGUUCAACGAGGAACACGAAACAUGGUCAGUGAGGUCAUGCAAUUCAGCACAA
Long non-coding RNA from Equus quagga, 1658 nucleotides. RefSeq lists it as uncharacterized. Lineage: Eukaryota; Metazoa; Chordata; Mammalia; Perissodactyla; Equidae. The record is from RefSeq and is a predicted model, not a curated record. The transcript is spliced from 3 exons.